This 447-nucleotide ribosomal RNA is filed under the name uncultured bacterium. RNAcentral describes it as "bacterial SSU rRNA". It matches the Rfam family "Bacterial small subunit ribosomal RNA", at positions 329 to 793 of the family's 1533-position model. The record is from RNAcentral.
UUCCAGACUCCUACGGGAGGCAGCAGUAGGGAAUAUUGCUCAAUGGGGGAAACCCUGAAGCAGCAACGCCGCGUGGAGGAUGAAGGUUUUAGGAUUGUAAACUCCUUUUGUUAGAGAAGAUUAUGACGGUAUCUAACGAAUAAGCACCGGCUAACUCCGUGCCAGCAGCCGCGGUAAUACGGAGGGUGCAAGCGUUACUCGGAAUCACUGGGCGUAAAGAGCGCGUAGGCGGGAUAGCAAGUCAGAUGUGAAAUCCUAUGGCUUAACCAUAGAACUGCAUUUGAAACUGUUAUUCUAGAGUAUGGGAGAGGUAGGUGGAAUUCUUGGUGUAGGGGUAAAAUCCGUAGAGAUCAAGAGGAAUACUCAUUGCGAAGGCGGCCUGCUGGACUGCAACUGACGUUGAGGCUCGAAGGCGUGGGGAGCAAACAGGAUUAGAUACCCUCGUAA